UACGGAGGAUCCGAGCGUUAUCCGGAUUUAUUGGGUUUAAAGGGAGCGUAGGUGGAUUGAUAAGUUAGAGGUGAAAUGUCCGAGCUCAACUCGGGAACUGCCUCUAAUACUGUUGAUCUAGAGAGUAGAUGCGGUAGGCGGAAUGUAUGGUGUAGCGGUGAAAUGCUUAGAGAUCAUACAGAACACCGAUUGCGAAGGCAGCUUACCAAUCUAUAUCUGACGUUGAGGCACGAAAGCGUGGGGAGCAAACAGG
Molecule: ribosomal RNA, 253 nt
Filed under: uncultured bacterium
Lineage: Bacteria
Description: partial 16S ribosomal RNA
Rfam family: Bacterial small subunit ribosomal RNA
Source: RNAcentral